RNAcentral lists this ribosomal RNA (773 nucleotides) under uncultured Neocallimastigales. Its description in RNAcentral is "partial large subunit ribosomal RNA". It matches the Rfam family "Eukaryotic large subunit ribosomal RNA", at positions 22 to 639 of the family's 3401-position model. The record is from RNAcentral. Lineage: Eukaryota; Fungi; Neocallimastigomycota; Neocallimastigomycetes; Neocallimastigales.
GUACACGCUGUGACUAGCAUAUCAAUAAGCGGAGGAAAAGAAACUAACAAGGAUUCCCCUAGUAACGGCGAGUGAAGCGGGAAGAGCUCAAAUUUGAAAUCUUAAAGGGUUUCCCUUUACGAAUUGUAGUUUAAAGAAGUGUUUUCUGUUGAGGUUUUGGUAAAAGUUCUUUGGAAUAGGACAUCAUAGAGGGUGAGAAUCCCGCAUUGGACCUUUACUUUCAACUUUGUGAUACACUUUCAAAGAGUCGGAUUGUUUGGGAAUGCAGUCCAAAAUGGGUGGUAAAUUUCAUCUAAAGCUAAAUAUUGGCGAGAGACCGAUAGCGAACAAGUACCGUGAGGGAAAGAUGAAAAGAACUUUGAAAAGAGAGUUAAACAGUACGUGAAAUUGUCAAAAGGGAAGCGUUUGACACCAGUGUUGUUUUUCUGAAAAUCAAUUAAAGAACUGUUUAUGCUAAGCUGUUUAGACUUUAUCAGCUAACUGUUUAGUUUUGAGCUUUUCUUUAAUGCACUUUUCAGUUAACAAGUCAACAUCAAUUUCUUUUGCUGUAAAAAGCUUGAGGAAGGUGGCUUGAGAUUCGUCUUAAGUGUUUAUAGCCUCUUGCCUAUGCAGUCGGAGAGAUUGAGGUCUGCAGCGUAGAUCCUUCGGGGCUAAAUGCAUUUGUGCUAAGUUAUAACAUUUUAUAGACAACUUGUUGACUAUGAUUUGUCUUGUAGCUUACUCGCUUAUGUUAUUUUACCUACGCUUAGGAUGUUGACGCGCGUGUGUGCGUG